This 1380-nucleotide long non-coding RNA is filed under the name Ananas comosus (pineapple). Its description in RNAcentral is "long non-coding RNA (ACOM_LNC036544)". Lineage: Eukaryota; Viridiplantae; Streptophyta; Magnoliopsida; Poales; Bromeliaceae. The record is from RNAcentral.
UAGCAUUCAACCCAUUAUUUGCAUCAACUAGAAAAUCAUAUUUUUCUUCGACAUGAAGGCGACCUAGUCGCUUCGGUAAGCACAACCCACCUGUUAGUGCAUUCCGAUUGCUUGUCGACACUUACAAUCGGCCUCCCGCGGCAUCCGGUGCACGUCGGAACUUGCAAUUGCGCACCAACCGCGCGUCGCUUCGUAGCCUUGGGCAAAAAGGGUCUUCGUUUUGUUGUUACGGUGCCUCAAAUCCAAUUCCAUGAUUUUACGACGUCGCCUCGGCCCUCCAGGCGGAAACGAAGCCUAAACGUCCGUUUCUUUAAUAACUUCGCACCGGCUCGACGAAUCGCCGAACCGACUUCGCCAACGCGUUCGUUUACCUAUCAAUUAGGUUUAUGGAGGGUCAAACGAGAUCAAACCCUACAAGUAGCAACAUUAGCAUUUUAGAGCCCUAGGUUACAACUAGGCAAGAAAUCACUAAAUUGAUCGGUGAUUUAGGCAACAUUCAUCUAUUUAGCAUCAUAGAAUUCCAAUAAAUCCAUUUUUAGAGCAUGUAAAGCUAACCCUAAAGAUCUACCAUGAGAGGGCUCAAGAAGCUUACCUCAAAACUAGCUCCAAACCAUGGAGAAGAUGAAGAAGAUGAAGACGAUCUAUCUCCAAGCUUCAAUCUCCACCAAUUCCCUUAAUUUUGGGAGAGAUUUAGAGAGAGAAAGGGUGGUUUUCCCUCUCCCUUUUCCAUGCGUGUGUGUUGUGUGUGUGUGGCGCAUGUGUGUGUGGCUGCACGGUUGAGGGAGAAGAAGAGCAAUGCUCUUUUACAACUUAGCCCCUCAACUAUACACUAUUCACUCCAUGUAGCUCGAAAUCUGAUAUCUUUCGUCGGAGCUCCCUGAAUAUCCGUUUGAGCUCAAAUUUGAUAGGCAAUCUCGGUUUAACGUACUGACUAAGGAUAUAUCUUAAGUUUUCAGUUUCGACCCCGUUUGGUCACCGAAAACUGUGCCGAACUGUAAUCUUAAUCAGAUAACUAUCGGAUUUUAUUUCUCACUCUACGGGUGUCAGAAAAAUAUGAAACCUUAAAUCUAGCCUCAUAAAAAUAUUUCUGACAUAUCCUCUAAUUUUCAUAAUUUUCUGAAACUGUGCAUUUUCUGCUAAUUUAUCUGCCCCGUUCUCACAGAAAAUUCUAAAUCUUCUGUUUUCGCUCCGAUUUCAGCACAGGUCAUUUUCAAUCUAUAUUUCACUUCUCUAAACCCAAUAAAAUAGUAUCUCAUACUAUUUUUAUUUAUUUUCAUCUUUAUACUUAAAAUCCGGUAUGUUACAUUCCACCGCAACCUCACCGGAACCAUUUAAAUGUACACCGUAACUUCGUAGUUUUAGAAGUCCGGUACCUUACAU